This 170-nucleotide small RNA is filed under the name Arabidopsis thaliana (thale cress). RNAcentral's name for it is "ATSL244340". Lineage: Eukaryota; Viridiplantae; Streptophyta; Magnoliopsida; Brassicales; Brassicaceae. The record is from RNAcentral.
AACACACAUUCUAAUCAUAAGAUUGAAUAUAAAAUUAGGGAAUUUAAUGAAAAAAACCCUCAACUUUGGCCAGAUCCAUUUUUAAACCCUAAACUAUGUUUUUAGUAAAACAAACCCUGAACUAAAACCUGUUAAUAAACUUAACCCCACAGUAAUUAAAUAUUAAUGGA